Molecule: ribosomal RNA, 281 nt
Filed under: uncultured bacterium
Lineage: Bacteria
Description: partial 16S ribosomal RNA
Rfam family: Bacterial small subunit ribosomal RNA
Source: RNAcentral
AACCUGCCUCGAGCUCUGGGAUAACACCGGGAAACCGGUGCUAAUACCGGAUAUGAACAGAUAAUGCAUCUUCUCUGUUGGAAAGUUUUUCGGCUCGAGAUGGGCCCGCGGCCUAUCAGCUUGUUGGUGGGGUAACGGCCUACCAAGGCGACGACGGGUAACCGGCCUGAGAGGGCGACCGGUCACACUGGGACUGAGACACGGCCCAGACUCCUACGGGAGGCAGCAGUGGGGAAUAUUGCGCAAUGGGCGAAAGCCUGACGCAGCGACGCCGCGUGAGG